UGGCUCAGGAUGAACGCUGGCGGUCAGCCUAACACAUGCAAGUCGAACGGGUUCUUCGGAACCAGUGGCGGACGGGUGAGUAACACGUGAGAAUCUGCCCUCGGGAGGGGGACAACCGCUGGAAACGGCGGCUAAUACCCCAUAAGCCCACGGGUGAAAGUUCCGGCGCCCGAGGAGGAGCUCGCGUCCGAUUAGCUAGUUGGUGGGGUAAGAGCCUACCAAGGCGACGAUCGGUAGCUGGUCUGAGAGGAUGAGCAGCCACACUGGGACUGAGACACGGCCCAGACUCCUACGGGAGGCAGCAGUGGGGAAUUUUCCGCAAUGGGCGAAAGCCUGACGGAGCUAGACCGCGUGAGGGAAGAAGGCCCUUGGGUCGUAAACCUCUUUUCUCGGGGAAGACCCCCGACGGUACCCGAGGAAUCAGCCUCGGCUAACUCCGUGCCAGCAGCCGCGGUAAUACGGAGGAGGCAAGCGUUAUCCGGAAUUAUUGGGCGUAAAGCGUUCGCAGGUGGCUUUUCAAGUCCGCGGUUAAAGCCCGGGGCUCAACCCCGGUUCGGCCGUGGAAACUGAAAGGCUAGAGCGCGGCAGGGGUAGAGGGAAUUCCCAGUGUAGCGGUGAAAUGCGUAGAGAUUGGGAAGAACACCGGUGGCGAAAGCGCUCUACUGGGCCGACGCUGACACUCAGGGACGAAAGCUAGGGGAGCGAAAGGGAUUAGAUAC
Molecule: ribosomal RNA, 719 nt
Filed under: Halothece sp. SCyano8
Lineage: Bacteria; Bacillati; Cyanobacteriota; Cyanophyceae; Chroococcales; Halothecacae
Description: bacterial SSU rRNA
Rfam family: Bacterial small subunit ribosomal RNA
Source: RNAcentral